RNAcentral lists this long non-coding RNA (465 nucleotides) under Homo sapiens (human). RNAcentral describes it as "non-protein coding lnc-FZD8-4:1". The record is from RNAcentral. Lineage: Eukaryota; Metazoa; Chordata; Mammalia; Primates; Hominidae.
CUUGUUAUCAUGGCUAUCCUUAUUCAAACCCCCUGAAGCUUUACUGGUGCAAUUACCCUCAUAAUUGCCCACAGACUUACUCUGUCCUUACUAUUCUGCUUAGCAAAUUCAAAUUACGAGUGAGUCCACAGCCGAAUUAUACUGCUCUCUUAACGCCUUCAACCAUUACUUCCACUAAUAGCUUUUUGAUGACUUACAGCAAAUCUUACCAACCUUGCCUUACCCCCCACCAUUAAUCUAAUAGGAGGACUCCUUGUAAUAAUAGCUUCAUUCUCCUGAUCAAACAUUACCAUUAUGCUUAUAGGACUUAAUAUAUUAACCACAGCCCUUUAUUCCCUUUAUAUACUUGUCACAAUACAACGAGGAACAUGUACAUGCUAUAUUAACAGUAUUAAACCCUCCUUUACAAGAGAAAAUAUAUUAAUAUUUAUACAUCUUUCACCUAUUCUUUUUAUCUCUAAACCC